Long non-coding RNA from Tripterygium wilfordii, 1891 nucleotides. RefSeq lists it as uncharacterized. The transcript is spliced from 2 exons. The record is from RefSeq and is a predicted model, not a curated record. NCBI's taxonomy places the organism in Eukaryota, Viridiplantae, Streptophyta, Magnoliopsida, Celastrales, Celastraceae.
GGAAUCCCCAUCAACCUCAUCUCUUCGUUAGUGGAAGAAACAAGUGGUGGGGUUUGCAUAGAUUCAAUAAAUAAGUUAAUUUUUUGUAUUAGGGUAGAUUGGUAGUUCAAGCUAGGUAUAGUCAAUGUUGAGCAGCCUCACAUCUGGAUCCUCUCCUACUUUCUACAGAUUAUGGGAUUAGGGUUUUCAUAGUGAAAAUGAAGGUUCUUGGCUAGUUGCUUUCAUUGCUUCCUGUUUGUGGUUGUGAGGUUGUUAGAUCUAGUGUAUGUUGUAACAAGAUGAUGGUUCGCGUUAAAGAAGUGGAGCUCCUUCAAGUCCAAUAGUGGGUCUUGCUGAGUUGGAUUGAGCUGCUAUGCUAUGGAUACCACAAUCCUAUCCUGUCCAUAUUGUCUUGGAUAUGUUUGUGGGAUGCAUAGCUCAGGAGCCUGGAUCAACUAUAGUUUGAUCCUUGUUUGGAUUGAAGGGAGCUCUACAUCUCUAUCUUCUUCUCUAUGACUUGUCUGCAACUGAAUCUGCCAAACUAAUUUUCUUUUUCCUUAUGUUUCUGUGAGUGGGUGUUGCAGGAACUCUAAGUAUAGUAGAGUUAUGAUUUUUAGCCAUUUUGGUUUGCGGAUCCAACUCUCCUUGAAGUCAUAGGGAAGAUCAAGUUUCUAGAUCAGAGGUCUGAGGGGUUUGGUACUAUUCAUGGGAACAGUGUGAGAUUAUUUUGCAAAGUCUUAAUGGCUUUUGAGAGGAAAUGAGUUCUAUAUGAGGAAAUACUGCACCAAUAUAGCUCCUUUAGUCCCAGAUCUAUGUGAUUCAUACAUCUCAUGCAUGGUAUUAAGGUUUCUCAUUGCAUCUCAGCAUCAUAUUAGGGUGAUUGUCAACUGUAGUAUGUUUUGUUUGUUAUUACUGAUUUGGUUUUGUAUUUUCACCGUUCUGGUACACACGUAUAUGCAUAUAUAGCUUGGGUAAUUUGUAUUCCGUAGUUCCAUUUAAGUCAAACGUUUUGUAAUAUGUUAAUAAAACGAAUAAUGUAGAUUUGCUUAAUGAGUUGCUUGGUCUGGUGAAGACUGCUCAAACCCUAAAAUUGUUCCACACUUUUACUUUUGAGUGUAAUUGAAUAUGUUGGGCCCCCAUGCAUUCUCAUUUCUCGUGGUGAUGAGUGUAUGGUUUUCAGACUGUGUAAUUGGAAGUGUUGAAGCUAAAUGACUUCUUUGUUGAUUCAACUUUUGUUUUGUAAGUUAAUUUCUGACUCUUGGUACAUGUUUAGGACACGGCAAAGAGGCAUAUACUAAACUAGGCGAGAAACAACUGUUGGCAUGAGCUGUGUAAGAAACAUCGAAGCUGCUAAAUGACCCACUAUUUUGGUCCCAACAUUGCCCAAGUCGAUGUGGCAAGUCCAGUCAGCAUGCCAACAAUGCAAUUUUGAAAUAUUCAAUUUGAAAUUGAGCUCAAUAAUCGGGGAGAGCAUUUAAUGUCCACAACCACUCUCUUGCAUUGGAAACGUAACCCCAAAACCUUAUUUGAUUUCUUCCAUUGCUUUGUACGAAACUUUUGCUCCCGUUUUCUUUGUCGAUUAUGUUAAUGGAGAUGAUCAUAUUGGUUUGCUUUGUAUGAAGGUGGCGCUGCAGCUAAAAAUCAUUGUAAGAAAAAGAAAUAUUUCAAGUGUGGAUUGUGGCAUCAUUGUCAUGCUCAUCAUGGAGUGCAUAUUCACCAACAAACCAAUCUCGAAGACUUUGAAAGAGGAAGAUAUUCGUUGGUUUAGGGCGCAUGUUGUUUAUUUGCUUCUCAAUGACAAAUGCCAUGUAUGAGGGUGAUAGUGCCAAGAAGUUGGGUUAGGAAGCAAACAAAGUGUAAAUGUUGUUUUUGAUACUAUGGUUGAAGUAUUAAUGCAAUGAUAUUUUGCUAG